Molecule: non-coding RNA, 72 nt
Organism: Phrynosoma platyrhinos (Desert horned lizard)
Lineage: Eukaryota; Metazoa; Chordata; Lepidosauria; Squamata; Phrynosomatidae
Source: the annotation of a GenBank genome assembly
GGCAGUGUGGCAUAGUGGUUUAAGCAUUAAACUACAGUUCUGGAGACCAGGGUUCAAAUCACUGCUCAGAGG